RNAcentral lists this long non-coding RNA (231 nucleotides) under Setaria italica (foxtail millet). RNAcentral describes it as "long non-coding RNA (SITA_LNC006445)". The record is from RNAcentral. Lineage: Eukaryota; Viridiplantae; Streptophyta; Magnoliopsida; Poales; Poaceae.
GGCCCGGCUGCGUUAAUGUUGGCAUGGGCUCGCUGGACGACGAUCGGCGGCGACGAGCGCCGUCUCCUGCUCCUGCCGAGGAGAUGACUGACUCAUGAGGACAGACGACGACGGCCCUCUCUUAUUCGCUCCGCAUCGUCUCGUCCUCUUGUUUGGAGCGAAAGAAAUACAUGGAGAGAUGACCAGCCUGAAGGUUGCCGAGGAGUGGAUGGUGGAUGAACUUGAUUUCAG